GAUGAACGCUGGCGGCGUGCCUACUACAUGCAAGUCGAGCGAACAGAUGAGGAGCUUGCUCCUCUGACGUUAGCGGCGGACGGGUGAGUAACACGUGGAUAACCUACCUAUAAGACUGGGAUAACUUCGGGAAACCGGAGCUAAUACCGGAUAAUAUAUUGAACCGCAUGGUUCAAUAGUGAAAGACGGUUUUGCUGUCACUUAUAGAUGGAUCCGCGCCGCAUUAGCUAGUUGGUAAGGUAACGGCUUACCAAGGCAACGAUGCGUAGCCGACCUGAGAGGGUGAUCGGCCACACUGGAACUGAGACACGGUCCAGACUCCUACGGGAGGCAGCAGUAGGAAAUCUUCCGCAAUGGGCGAAAGCCUGACGGAGCAACGCCGCGUGAGUGAUGAAGGUCUUCGGAUCGUAAAACUCUGUUAUUAGGGAAGAACAAAUGUGUAAGUAACUAUGCACGUCUUGACGGUACCUAAUCAGAAAGCCACGGCUAACUACGUG
RNAcentral lists this ribosomal RNA (497 nucleotides) under uncultured bacterium. Its description in RNAcentral is "partial 16S ribosomal RNA". It matches the Rfam family "Bacterial small subunit ribosomal RNA", at positions 28 to 507 of the family's 1533-position model. The record is from RNAcentral.